Myxocyprinus asiaticus (Chinese sucker) is the source of this 342-nucleotide long non-coding RNA. RefSeq lists it as uncharacterized. Lineage: Eukaryota; Metazoa; Chordata; Actinopteri; Cypriniformes; Catostomidae. The record is from RefSeq and is a predicted model, not a curated record. The transcript has 3 exons.
CAGUCCUCAGUUUGUGUUGGUGGGAAUCGAGAUGUUGUGAAAGCCAAGUGUCCCAGGACUCAAAGCGGCUGUCUUGAGAGUGAAAUAUGGUGAGAGCUGAACGUGUCUGGUGGUCUGUGAAGUUUCUGCCUUUCUGCAAAUGCCGUAUUUUAAUUUUCAAACAGCAUGCAACUUAAAUGCUGUUCCUUUUAAAGAUCUUGGUCUAAAGUCCUUUUGUAUAAUGCUGUAAAUACCACAGGUUAAUAUAUUUAUUUUAUAAUUGUCAAUGCAUCGUCUUUUGUAUUGUUUCACAAGGUUUGUACUUUUGUGACCACCUUUGAAAUUAAAUUUGAGUUAACAUUU